AAAUCGGUAGACGCUACGGACUUAAAAUCCGUCGACUUUAUAAGUCGUGAGGGUUCAAGUCCCUCUAUCCCCA
This 73-nucleotide transfer RNA is filed under the name Koeleria vallesiana. RNAcentral describes it as "partial tRNA-Leu". It matches the Rfam family "tRNA", at positions 13 to 71 of the family's 71-position model. Rfam says of the family: Transfer RNA (tRNA) molecules are approximately 80 nucleotides in length. Their secondary structure includes four short double-helical elements and three loops (D, anti-codon, and T loops). Further hydrogen bonds mediate the characteristic L-shaped molecular structure. tRNAs have two regions of fundamental functional importance: the anti-codon, which is responsible for specific mRNA codon recognition, and the 3' end, to which the tRNAs corresponding amino acid is attached (by aminoacyl-tRNA synthetases). tRNAs cope with the degeneracy of the genetic code in two manners: having more than one tRNA (with a specific anti-codon) for a particular amino acid; and 'wobble' base-pairing, i.e. permitting non-standard base-pairing at the 3rd anti-codon position. Lineage: Eukaryota; Viridiplantae; Streptophyta; Magnoliopsida; Poales; Poaceae. The record is from RNAcentral. RNAcentral also lists the same sequence under 9 other names.